This 406-nucleotide long non-coding RNA is filed under the name Elaeis guineensis (African oil palm). RNAcentral describes it as "long non-coding RNA (EGUI_LNC016764)". The record is from RNAcentral. Lineage: Eukaryota; Viridiplantae; Streptophyta; Magnoliopsida; Arecales; Arecaceae.
AGAAUACUCUGCUCUCCUACAUUCUUUCUCUUUUUUUUUCUAUUAUUCUAAAGCUCUGACUAAUUUAGGCAUCGAAAGAUCCCCCAUUGAAACACCUCUCGAUGAGUGCAAACUUUUUUUGUAGGUUUCUUUUGAUAUUUUGGAUCCCAAAUAACGUCCAGCUCUAGUCACAUCAGUACCCUUCUAAAGUCUUGCGGCAAUAAAUUGGUGCUAGACUGAGGGACCCAAUCUUUUUUUGAGAGAAAAGAGAGCAUAGUGUGAAUGAGAACAUACAACUCCACUACCUUUCUUUGACAAUUCAUCCAUCGCAGCCAGAGUAGUGUUGCCCAUGGGUCCGUCGUGAUGCAACACCUAAUCAUAUUAGACUCACCGCUGCUCCAUGCCCUAGCUUAUCAAAUCCAGACAC